AGCGAACGCUGGCGGCAUGCCUAACACAUGCAAGUCGCACGGUCCGGGGGAGACUUCGGGCAGUGGCGGACGGGUGAGUAACGCGUAGGGAUCUAUCCUUGGAUGGGGGACAACCGCGGGAAACCGCGGCUAAUACCGCAUGAUGCCUGAGGGCCAAAGCUUCGAUGAUCUGAUCGUGGCACGCUUGUGCCGCGUGAAUCAGAUCACCAGAGAAANCUGGUGAUGCGAUUCACGCGAUUUGCCUGGCAAAUACGCGACCGCAUCACGGAGNGUCUGGGGAGGAGCCUGCGUCCGAUUAGCUAGUU
Molecule: ribosomal RNA, 305 nt
Filed under: uncultured bacterium
Lineage: Bacteria
Description: bacterial SSU rRNA
Rfam family: Bacterial small subunit ribosomal RNA
Source: RNAcentral